RNAcentral lists this ribosomal RNA (173 nucleotides) under uncultured eukaryote. RNAcentral's name for it is "partial 18S ribosomal RNA". It matches the Rfam family "Eukaryotic small subunit ribosomal RNA", at positions 394 to 569 of the family's 1831-position model. The record is from RNAcentral.
CAGCCUGAGAAACGGCUACCACAUCCACGGAAGGCAGCAGGUGCGCAAAUUGCCCAAUUCUGACUCAGAGAGGCAGUGACAAGAAAUACCGAGAUGCGACCCAAGGUUGCUUAUUCGGAAUGAGAACAAUYUAAAAACCUUAACGAGGAUCCAUUGGAGGGCAAGUCUGGUGC